RNAcentral lists this ribosomal RNA (838 nucleotides) under Panorpodes paradoxus. RNAcentral's name for it is "partial 16S rRNA". Lineage: Eukaryota; Metazoa; Arthropoda; Insecta; Mecoptera; Panorpodidae. The record is from RNAcentral.
GAAGGUGUAUCUAGAAAGACAAAUUAGAGCUUGAAAAAUAAAGCAUUUCAUUUACAUUGAAAAGUAUAUUGUGUAAUUCAAUUUAAUUUGAUAAUAAAAAUUUAUUAAUUUUUUUUUGUUUAAAAAUUUAUUUAAUAAAAUUAAUUUUAAAUUAAGUUUUUUUUUGUAUAGUAUAUAGAUCAAAUAAUUUAUAUAAUAGUUAAUUAGUAUUGUAAAAGAAUAUUGAAAUAUUUGAAAAAAUUUUAAAUUAAAAGUAAAUUUUAUAUAUUGUACCUUGUGUAUCAGGGUUUAUUAAUUAAAAAUUAAAUCUUUAAUUUUUCUCGAAUUUAAGAGAGUUAAUUUAUUAUUUAUUUUUUUGUUUCAUAAAAAUUUAAAAUAAUAAAUUAGAAAUGAAAUGUUAUUCGUUCUUUAAUAUAUCUAGUUUUUUAAGAAAUAAAUUAAAUUUAGAUUAUUAAUAAAUAAUUAUUUAUUUAAAUAAUAAAUUAUUAUUAAUAAUUAAUAUUUUAAGGGAUAAGCUUUAAAAUAAGUUUUAUAAUGAUUUUUUAAUUUAAAAAUUAUAGGUUUAGAAAUAGUCAUUAAUUAUAAAAAUGUUAUAAUUUAUUUUAAGUUAAAAAUAAUUUUUAUUAAUUUAAGUUUUUAUUAAAAUAAUUUUUAAAAUUAUAUAAGAAUUAAAAUAAUGAUAAAAUUAGUAUAUUUAAUUGUUUAAAAUAAUUAAAUUGAAAGGUUAAAUUAAGGAAUUUGGCAAAUAAAUACUCGCCUGUUUAACAAAAACAUGUCUUUUUGAAUAUAAUUUAAAGUCUAAUCUGCCCACUGAAAAAUUUUAAAGGGCCGCGGUAUU